Molecule: ribosomal RNA, 483 nt
Filed under: uncultured bacterium
Lineage: Bacteria
Description: partial 16S ribosomal RNA
Rfam family: Bacterial small subunit ribosomal RNA
Source: RNAcentral
GACGAACGCUGGCGGCGUGCUUAACACAUGCAAGUCGAACGCUGAAGCUCAGCUUUUGUUGGGUUGAUGUGUGGCGAACGGGUGAGUAUCACGUGAGUAACCUGCCCCUUUCUUUGUGAUAACGCCCGGGAACGCGUGCUAAUACAGGAGAUUCAAUUGUCUUCGCAUUGGUGUUGGUGGAAAGGGCGGUUUUGGUGUGGGGUGCGCUAGCAGCCUAUCUGCUUGAUGUUGUGGUGAUGGUCUAACAAGGCUUUGACGGGUAGACGGGCUGAGAGGGUGAACGGUAACAUUGGGACUGAGAUAAGGCCCAGGCUAGUCAGGGGGGGAGCAGUGGGGGAUAUUGCCCAAUGGGCGACAGCCUGAUGCCGCGUCGCCGCGUGAGGGCUGGAGGUCUUAGGGUUGUGAACCUAUUUCGCUAAUUGUCAAGAAGCAACAAUGGUUGUCGUGAGGGUAGUGGGUCAAGAAGCGCCGGCUAACUACGUG